RNAcentral lists this non-coding RNA (27 nucleotides) under Cricetulus griseus (Chinese hamster). The record is from RNAcentral. Lineage: Eukaryota; Metazoa; Chordata; Mammalia; Rodentia; Cricetidae.
CAGAAAAUUGGACCAAUUCUAGAUACC